UCCCUGGUGGCUCAAAUGGUAAAGCGUCUGCCUGCAAUGCGGGAGACCCUGGUUCGAUUCCUGGCUCAGGAA
RNAcentral lists this transfer RNA (72 nucleotides) under Bos taurus (domestic cattle). It matches the Rfam family "tRNA". Rfam says of the family: Transfer RNA (tRNA) molecules are approximately 80 nucleotides in length. Their secondary structure includes four short double-helical elements and three loops (D, anti-codon, and T loops). Further hydrogen bonds mediate the characteristic L-shaped molecular structure. tRNAs have two regions of fundamental functional importance: the anti-codon, which is responsible for specific mRNA codon recognition, and the 3' end, to which the tRNAs corresponding amino acid is attached (by aminoacyl-tRNA synthetases). tRNAs cope with the degeneracy of the genetic code in two manners: having more than one tRNA (with a specific anti-codon) for a particular amino acid; and 'wobble' base-pairing, i.e. permitting non-standard base-pairing at the 3rd anti-codon position. Lineage: Eukaryota; Metazoa; Chordata; Mammalia; Artiodactyla; Bovidae. RNAcentral also lists the same sequence under 4 other names. The record is from Rfam by way of RNAcentral.